Molecule: non-coding RNA, 69 nt
Organism: Podarcis lilfordi (Lilford's wall lizard)
Lineage: Eukaryota; Metazoa; Chordata; Lepidosauria; Squamata; Lacertidae
Source: the annotation of a GenBank genome assembly
GCUGUAGCUCAGCAGUAGAGUAUGUGCUCCACAUGCAAAAGGUCCAAGGUUCAGUUCCUGGCAUCUCUA